GCCGGGCGUGGUGGCUCGCACCUGUAAUCCCAGCAUUUUGGGAGGCCGAGGUGGGCGGAUCACUUGAGGCCAGGAAUUCUAGAACAGCCUGGCCAACAUAGUGAAACCCCGUCUCUA
Molecule: unclassified non-coding RNA, 117 nt
Organism: Macaca mulatta (Rhesus monkey)
Lineage: Eukaryota; Metazoa; Chordata; Mammalia; Primates; Cercopithecidae
Rfam family: Metazoan signal recognition particle RNA
About the family: The signal recognition particle (SRP) is a universally conserved ribonucleoprotein.
Source: Ensembl